Non-coding RNA from Vicugna pacos (alpaca), 409 nucleotides. The record is from RefSeq and is a predicted model, not a curated record. NCBI's taxonomy places the organism in Eukaryota, Metazoa, Chordata, Mammalia, Artiodactyla, Camelidae.
CAGAAUCUAGAACUGUUAUUCUCCCAAAAGCACAUGUACCUUCUCUGGACUGCGUGGUUAUAAUUUGGACAACGAAGGCAACCUUCUGGUUGUUGGAAAUGAAGCAGCUCUGUACUCUCAUCUGUGUUCUUUCGAGGAGAAAGUUCAAGAUACUUCCUUCAGUGAAGUUUGGAGAAGUCUGAGUCCCCACCGUGAAGUCUGCUUUAAAUCUGCCCUAAGAGCAAAGCUCCCUGGUGAACAGGCUCCUUCAGGGCCCUGGAAGCCACAGAGAUUCACUGAGUGCUGCCCUCUUUAGUAAUAAGGGAUCCCACCUUUUCACCUUCUUUUACACACAGAGAUACUGGCAGCUUUAUCAAAAAACAUAAUAGCUUGAAAUAAAAAAUUUAAUGACAGCUUCUUGAAAAAAAAA